Molecule: ribosomal RNA, 833 nt
Filed under: uncultured bacterium
Lineage: Bacteria
Description: bacterial SSU rRNA
Rfam family: Bacterial small subunit ribosomal RNA
Source: RNAcentral
CGGAAUGCGUGGUGUAGCGGUGAAAUGCAUAGAUAUCACGCAGAACCCCGAUUGCGAAGGCAGCAUACCGGCGCCCUACUGACGCUGAGGCACGAAAGUGCGGGGAUCAAACAGGAUUAGAUACCCUGGUAGUCCGCACAGUAAACGAUGAAUGCUAACUGUCCGGUGCGAGUGAGCGCUGGGCGGUACAGCGAAAGCGUUAAGCAUUCCACCUGGGGAGUACGCCGGCAACGGUGAAACUCAAAGGAAUUGACGGGGGCCCGCACAAGCGGAGGAACAUGUGGUUUAAUUCGAUGAUACGCGAGGAACCUUACCCGGGCUCAAACGCAGGCUGACGGGUCCCGAAAGGGGCCUUUCUUCGGACAUUCUGCGAGGUGCUGCAUGGUUGUCGUCAGCUCGUGCCGUGAGGUGUCGGCUUAAGUGCCAUAACGAGCGCAACCCCUGUCCACAGUUGCCAGCAGGUAAAGCUGGGGACUCUGUGGAGACUGCCGGCGCAAGCUGCGAGGAAGGCGGGGAUGACGUCAAAUCAGCACGGCCCUUACGUCCGGGGCGACACACGUGUUACAAUGGCAGGUACAGGGGGAUGCCACGGGGCGACCCGGCGCUGAACCCGAAAACCUGUCUCAGUUCGGAUUGGAGUCUGCAACCCGACUCCAUGAAGCUGGAUUCGCUAGUAAUCGCGCAUCAGCCACGGCGCGGUGAAUACGUUCCCGGGCCUUGUACACACCGCCCGUCAAGCCAUGGAAGCCGGGGGUACCUGAAGUGCGUGACCGCGAGGAGCGCCCUAGGGUAAAACCGGUGACUGGGGCUAAGUCGUAACAAGGUAGCCGUAA